CCACUCUCCUUGAUCUAAGCUGAGAGAACUUGUUAAUUUCCAUUGGUCGUGGCUCAGAAGGCUAUGCCAACAUUCCAUUAAACCACAGAACAAAACAGAUAAAAUUACAUUUAGCGCCACACCAUUUUACAUGGACCUACCCAAUUUCUGACCUGAGAAAUUGUCUCUUGAAAUUAUAACUCAGUUCCUGCUACAUGGAGAAUUGUAGAUAGAAUAUUAAUCCACAUUCUACUGAUCGUUAGUUGAUUGGAAGGAAUCCUAAUGGGAUAGAGAUUAAAAUCUCACUACUGUCCUGCAAUCAAAUCAGUCCAUUCCAAAUCAGUCAAGUUUAAUAGACAUUGCUUAGUGCAGUAAAAU
Non-coding RNA from Pelobates cultripes (western spadefoot toad), 357 nucleotides. The record is from the annotation of a GenBank genome assembly. Lineage: Eukaryota; Metazoa; Chordata; Amphibia; Anura; Pelobatidae.